Molecule: non-coding RNA, 91 nt
Organism: Xenopus laevis (African clawed frog)
Lineage: Eukaryota; Metazoa; Chordata; Amphibia; Anura; Pipidae
Source: Rfam
UCUGCUGUGCGUGAUGACUUACACUUUUUUCCCCAUCAGAUCGACAGUGUUGACCAUAAUCUGUUUUAAGCCAAACUGUCUGAUACACAGA